This 740-nucleotide ribosomal RNA is filed under the name Oscillospiraceae bacterium. Its description in RNAcentral is "bacterial SSU rRNA". It matches the Rfam family "Bacterial small subunit ribosomal RNA", at positions 1 to 758 of the family's 1533-position model. Lineage: Bacteria; Bacillati; Bacillota; Clostridia; Eubacteriales; Oscillospiraceae. The record is from RNAcentral.
AAACGGAAGAGUUUGAUCCUGGCUCAGGACGAACGCUGGCGGCGUGCCUAACACAUGCAAGUCGAGCGGACGAGGGAGAGAUUUCUCGUUAGCGGCGGACGGGUGAGUAACGCGUGAACAAUCUGUCCCAUACAGGGGGAUAACGAAUGGAAACAUUCGCUAAUACCGCGUAAGACCACUAGGAGGCAUCUUCUGGGGGUAAAAGGAGAGAUCCGGUAUGGGGUGAAUUCGCGUCCCAUUAGAUAGUUGGUGAGGUAACGGCUCACCAAGUCGACGAUGGGUAGCCGAUCUGAGAGGAUGACCGGCCACACUGGAACUGAGAGACGGUCCAGACUCCUACGGGAGGCAGCAGUGGGGAAUAUUGGGCAAUGGGGGGAACCCUGACCCAGCGACGCCGCGUGAGGGAAGAAGGCCUUCGGGUCGUAAACCUCUGUCCCAUGUGAAGAGAAGAAGACGGUAGCAUGGGAGGAAGCCCCGGCUAACUACGUGCCAGCAGCCGCGGUAAUACGUAGGGGGCGAGCGUUGUCCGGAAUGACUGGGCGUAAAGGGCGCGUAGGCGGCUCUGUAAGUCUGGAGUGGAAGUCCUUAUUUCAAGUGAGGAAUUGCUUCGGAGACUGUGGAGCUUGAGUGUGGGAGAGGAUAGCGGAAUUCCCGGUGUAGCGGUGAAAUGCGUAGAGAUCGGGAGGAACACCAGUGGCGAAGGCGGCUAUCUGGACCAAGACUGACGCUGAGGCGCGAAA